GCCAGAGUGGUGAAAUUGGUAGACACAGGGGAUUCAAAAUCCCCCGGGGUAAAACCCGUGCCGGUUCGAGUCCGGCCUCUGGUACCA
Molecule: transfer RNA, 87 nt
Filed under: Litorivivens lipolytica
Lineage: Bacteria; Pseudomonadati; Pseudomonadota; Gammaproteobacteria
Also listed under: 8 other names
Description: tRNA-Leu
Rfam family: tRNA
About the family: Transfer RNA (tRNA) molecules are approximately 80 nucleotides in length.
Source: RNAcentral